This 197-nucleotide ribosomal RNA is filed under the name uncultured beta proteobacterium. Its description in RNAcentral is "partial 16S ribosomal RNA". It matches the Rfam family "Bacterial small subunit ribosomal RNA", at positions 335 to 524 of the family's 1533-position model. Lineage: Bacteria; Pseudomonadati; Pseudomonadota; Betaproteobacteria. The record is from RNAcentral.
ACUCCUACGGGAGGCAGCAGUGGGGAAUUUUGGACAAUGGGCGCAAGCCUGAUCCAGCAAUGCCGCGUGAGUGAAGAAGGCCUUCGGGUUGUAAAGCUCUUUCAGUCGAGAAGAAAAAGCUGCAGUGAAUAACUGUAGUUCAUGACGGUAUCGACAGAAGAAGCACCGGCUAACUACGUGCCAGCAGCCGCGGUAAU